GUGUGUGCACACAUGCAUGACAAUGUGGAGGUCUAAGGACGGCUGUGGUGUUAAUUUCUUCCAGUGACCACAUUCAGGUUGCCAGGCCCCCUCAUCUUGUCAUCCCACCAGCCCUAAAUUGGUCUCUGUUUGAGGUCCUUGUCAAUCUCGUUGCUGAGUGACAAGUGGCAAUCUACUGUGAAGUCUGGCAGAACAAUCACGAUUUACCAUCAACUAAGUUGAUGGGGGGGGGGUGUGUGUGGGUGUGUGUGACUUUGAAAACCAAACCAAACCAGAUCUCUGUUCGAUAUCUUGUUUUCUUUACAGGUUCAGCUGACACUGUUUUUGUGGCAUGGUAUGCUGGCAGGCACUGGCCAGGAGCAGCGCAGGCACGGGAGACAGUGACCUUUUGAUUCCUUGUUCUUAUAUAGGUCUCUUAAGAAUCCGGGUCCUUAUGAGCAGUACCACUCCUCUACCCCCAAGCUCCUUGUGCUUCCUUGAAAGGCUGUCUCUUUAGUCCUGGUGCCACCACACAGGAUCUGGAGUGCCCAGGGCUUGGCAGACAGCAAGUUCCUGACAACUGUGAGCUGUUCAUACUGAGACAUCUGCAGGCAAGUCAAAUAGGCCAGAACUCGGCCACAGGAGCCACCCCUGAGACAAUGCCGUAUUGUGUGGAGGAAAACACAACACCCUUAGCUUCCUACUGGGCCAGACUCCGAGUACACGCAUCUCGAAAGCUGAGGGGAGCUUGUCUAAACGUGUGGCAGCAGCAGAUUCCUCGUGGCUCAGGUACGAGUGUCCUGAAGUUGAAUCCGUGCGGGUGGAAAGAAGGCGAGGAAGCUCACGCCCUCACAAUAAGCAGCGCCAGGCACGCCUGAACCGUGUCUGUGUGGUUACAGGUAGUGAGAGGUGAGGCCAACAGUGUAGACAGAUUCUGCUCUCUUCGCCUUCACCCCUCAGAGCCUCGAAAGAAUGGAAUGACUCACCCCUCAGGGAGCAAAGGCGCCAGAACAUUCUGUCAAAUGACCUACACCACAAGGAAAACAAGUCCUGAAGUGCAUUUUUAGUUUGAAGAAGACUUACUGAAUAUAAGGGCAAGAAAGACCUCGAAGCUUGAGAGCUCAACUAAAAUUUCCAUUUUCUUUUUUUUUUUUUCGUCUCUUGUCUUUUUCUCGUUUCAAGUGUGGAACCUCAAGGCUCUGGCUCUUAGAAGGCUUCUUCAGGGUCCUCCCAGGAGCCGAGCCCACUCUAGAGCCAGCAUCAGGUCCAUCUUGUCAAGUACCAUGGGCAUCGUGCGUCUUUGCAUGACAGCUUUUUACAAAAUGCCUGACAGAACGGCCAAAUGCGUUUCCAGUUUUAAGUAUGACCAAGCAUCAGUCUGCAACUAAGCAAAGCAUUAUACAAGGAUCGUGCAGACAUCAGUUUCCCAUUUUGAUAAUUACGUAAGAUAUUAUACAGGGCUGUAAGGAGGGCUUAGCCAUUAAGAAUACUGGCUGUUCUUCCAGAGACCCGGGUUCAGUUCCCAGCACCCAUGUGGUAGCUCAUGGCUGUGGUAAUCACAGUCCCACACUAUCUUUGGGCCUCUGUGGGCACCAGGUACUGCAUGCAUGCGACACACAGACAUACACAGGCAAAAUACCCAGACACAUAAAAGUUGGGAAAAAAAGAAACUCAACUCGCUUGGUGCGCUGGCUUUCGGGCAGGCGGGCAAACGGGCAGGCGGGCUCCUGGAUGUCUCAGCAGUGCGCUAUCAGCGUGGUAGCUGAGUACAUUUCUUAGGCCAGGACAAACUGUGGAAAGGAUCUCCCAGAAGUCCAAGGGGGAAAAACCCAGAAAACCAGGUAAGGAAAUGAAGUUGGAGCUCAUGUGAGUACCCACGGCUCCCUGUGCCAGGCAAUACUCAGUACUAGGACAGGGACACAGGAGGUCCCAGCUACAGCUCGCUUUGGAAGAAGGGCGGUGCAGACUGCUUUCGGUCUGGAGCCUGCCUGUCAUUCCCACAACUCUGAAAGCCAUGGGUCUCUCCAUCCCCCGCUUGUCACUCUGGUGCCAGUUUUGGGCCCUGGCCCAUAGCUUUUAGUGUUUCUGCUAAUUUCACUUCUCUGAAAUGUUCUCCACACAACAGCCACUGUCAUCUUUCCUAAAACAAAUCACAUCGUGUUCCUCUCCCACUUAGGAUCUCUGAGUUGCACCCACUGCCCUUUUCCACUGCUCAGCCUACUCGCCUGUGGCCUUCAGCUUCUGGAACAUGCCCAGCUUCUUCCUGCUUCCUGGCCUCUCAGACUUGCCUUCAUCUGCUAACAUACCUUCUAAAUCACCACCCACCCCCACUCUGGACAUGAUUCCCAGGGUUAAGUUGCCCUUCAGUUGCCUGCUGAAUGCCUUUUUAACACUUCCAAAUCCUGUUGCUGUAAGCUCUCUUCCUCCCGGAUCCAGCAUGGCUGCCACUCAACAGGCUUCUGUUAUGGGAUGAAUUCCCAAGCUAGAGUGACACACAGGGCCACCAGCUUGGAUACAGCAGCCCAGCAGUCUGCAAGGCUCUCUGCAGUGCCUGGCCACGGGGAUUAAGGCCUCAGACAAGCAAGCAGUGAAGGUCACAAAGGGCCCAGAGUGACCCAGACUGAGUCCUAAAGCUCAAGAAGUCUGCACACAGAGUGUCCUACGGACUGCACAGCCUGGCCUUCCUCGUGUUACUGUUUCCACAGAAGCUCCAGAACCAAGUUUACUGUUUAUUGUUCCAGGUGAGAGCAAAAAAGGCUUGAUUUUUGCCAUACUUUUUUUCUUUUUCUUUUUUGAGACAGGGAUUCAUGUGGCCUAGGGGAACCAAAGAUGACGUUGUGAACUGCUGAUUCUCCAGCCACCAUCUCAAGUGCUGGACUUAUGGGCAUGCCCUGUUUACGUGAUACUCGGGACCAAGUCCAGAGUAAGCACUUCAACAACUGACCAAGUCUUCAGCCCAUACAUUUUUAUAACACCCAAGUAAAGUUGCUCAGAUUGUCAUUUAGAAAUCUACAAUAGUUUCAACAUGUAUUGAACCCCAAACACUGUCAUGCUUGAAAAAAUAACACCAAUUGCUUGAGACAUAAGAGUUUAGACAAGACAUUAACGGUGUCAUAAAUAAGUAAUAUAACUUUAUUAAAAUGAAAAGACAAUAUUCAAAAUAA
This 3143-nucleotide small RNA is filed under the name Rattus norvegicus (Norway rat). Its description in RNAcentral is "uncharacterized LOC102556316". Lineage: Eukaryota; Metazoa; Chordata; Mammalia; Rodentia; Muridae. The record is from RNAcentral.